This 339-nucleotide unclassified non-coding RNA is filed under the name uncultured Entrophospora. Its description in RNAcentral is "uncultured Claroideoglomus sequence contains ITS2". The stretch from base 1 to 52 matches the Rfam family "5.8S ribosomal RNA", at positions 103 to 154 of the family's 154-position model. Lineage: Eukaryota; Fungi; Glomeromycota; Glomeromycetes; Entrophosporales; Entrophosporaceae. The record is from RNAcentral.
AACGCAUAUUGCACUCUCUGGUAUUCCGGGGAGUAUGCCUGUUUGAGGGUCAGUAAAAAUAAAAAAUCUAUCAUGAAUCCUUUUUUUAAUUUAUUUUAUUAAAUCGGAUCAUGGAAUUGGAUCUUUUCAAAAAAUUUCAUUGUUUUUGAUGAUCUUAAAUUUAUGUUAUAUGGCUAUAUAUAUAAACUGAACCAAAAAGAGCAAUUAUUUAUAAUUAAUCUCAUUUAGUGAUGUUUUAUUAAGCCAAAUAUGAUUUAUUUUGAUAUUUAAUUAUCAAAAUAAUCAUAAACAUAUUUUAAAAAUGACCUCAAAUCAGGUAAGAGUACCCGCUGAACUUAA